Molecule: ribosomal RNA, 460 nt
Filed under: uncultured bacterium
Lineage: Bacteria
Description: partial 16S ribosomal RNA
Rfam family: Bacterial small subunit ribosomal RNA
Source: RNAcentral
CCUACGGGAGGCAGCAGUGAGGAAUAUUGGUCAAUGGUCGCAGGGCUGAACCAGCCAAGUCGCGUGAGGGAUGACGGUCCUAUGGAUUGUAAACCUCUUUUGUCAGGGAGCAAAGGGCGCCACGUGUGGCGUUUUGCGAGUACCCGACCAAGAAGCCCCGGCUAACUACGUGCCAGCAGCCGCGGUAAUACGGAGGGGGCAAGCGUUAUCCGGAUUCACUGGGGGUAAAGGGAGCGUAGACGGCUAGACAAGUCUGGGGGGAAAGGCCGGGGCCCAACCCCGGGCCUGCGCUGGAAACUGGCUGGCUGGAGUACAGGAGAGGUACGUGGAAUGCGUGGUGUAGCGGUGAAAUGCGUAGAUAUUAGGAAGAACACCAGUGGCGAAGGCGGCUUACUGGACUGUAACUGACGUUGAGGCUCGAAAGCGUGGGGAGCGAACAGGAUUAGAUACCCCAGUAGUC